CUAGCUGUGUGUGUGUGAGAGAGAGUGAGAGAGAGACAGAGAGAGGGACGACUCUUAUUCCCACAGUGUCCUGAUAAUGAGCUCGUCCUCCUUAAGACGUCCUGCGUGACCUCACUGAGAGAGGACUAGUUCAGAUAUUUAUACUCCCUGCUACAGAAGUGUGUCACAGAGUACGAGAUUCCGGCAGCAUCGCCAACACACACGCGACACCUUUCAGUGACAACGAAUGAUGCUUUUUUCAUUGGAUCACUAGGAUCUCUACAGUGUCCUGCUUUUUAUACGUUUUUUUAAAUUAUCAAUAAACUACUCACUAUUCCACACGCCAUCAUCUGACUAAAGAUGCCGGAUUCUUUUGCAUACCAAAACACCUCUUUUUCCGCUGAAACUAAACCAACCAAAAGAAACCGCACUGCUAAAUCAUCCAUAAAUCAUCGUUGUCCUUCGGACAUCUUGUUAACAUCCUAACAUCCUGUAAGAGUGAAUCCCAUCUCACUGAGCUAUUGAGCAGCUUCUCCCACUGGGGAAAUCAACGUCGGUGGAAAACGAGCAGGUUUCCAUGGAAACACAUUUGUAACCAGCAUAGGAGGAGAGCAGGAAGGACAGAUAGACAGGGAGGAAAUGAGAUCACUGCUUUCUGGAGCUAGUACAGAGGUAAACUCUCCCUACUCUCAGGACACUGAGGAACACGAUACUAAUGGCGAGUAGAAAUAUCAGCGAGAACGUCGGUCUGAUCGGCCUGAGACUCUUUACUGGAUGUAUUUUUUCCGAUCUGAAUAAAUUCUGAUGGAUUUUA
Long non-coding RNA from Tachysurus fulvidraco (yellow catfish), 793 nucleotides. RefSeq lists it as uncharacterized. The record is from RefSeq and is a predicted model, not a curated record. The transcript has 2 exons. NCBI's taxonomy places the organism in Eukaryota, Metazoa, Chordata, Actinopteri, Siluriformes, Bagridae.